GUGGACGCAUCACUGGUGUUCGGGUUGUCAUGCCAAUGGCACUGCCCGGUAGCUAAAUGCGGAAGAGAUAAGUGCUGAAAGCAUCUAAGCACGAAACUUGCCCCGAGAUGAGUUCUCCCUGAGACUUUAGGUCUCCUGAAGGAACGUUGAAGACGACGACGUUGAUAGGCCGGGUGUGUAAGCGCAGCGAUGCGUUGAGCUAACCGGUACUAAUGAACCGUGAGGCUUAACCUUACAACGCCGAAGCUGUU
Molecule: ribosomal RNA, 251 nt
Filed under: Salmonella enterica
Lineage: Bacteria; Pseudomonadati; Pseudomonadota; Gammaproteobacteria; Enterobacterales; Enterobacteriaceae
Also listed under: 1 other name
Description: partial 23S ribosomal RNA
Rfam family: Bacterial large subunit ribosomal RNA
Source: RNAcentral